Molecule: ribosomal RNA, 464 nt
Filed under: uncultured bacterium
Lineage: Bacteria
Description: partial 16S ribosomal RNA
Rfam family: Bacterial small subunit ribosomal RNA
Source: RNAcentral
CUACGGGGGGCUGCAGUGGGGAAUAUUGGACAAUGGGGGAAACCCUGAUCCAGCAAUGCCGCGUGUGUGAAGAAGGCCUGCGGGUUGUAAAGCACUUUCGGUUGGGAGGACUGCUUCUAGCACUAAUAUUGUUGGAAGUUGACGUUACCUUCAGAAGAAGCACCGGCUAACUCCGUGCCAGCAGCGGCGGUAAUACGGAGGGUGCAAGCGUUAAUCGGAAUUACUGGGCGUAAAGCGCGCGUAGGCGGCUAGAUCAGUCGGGUGUGAAAGCCCCGGGCUUAACCUGGGAACUGCAUCCGAUACUGUCUAGCUUGAGUACAGGAGAGGAGAGUGGAAUUCCACAUGUAGCGGUGAAAUGCGUAGAUAUGUGGAGGAACACCAAUGGCGAAGGCAGCUCUCUGGCCUGAUACUGACGCUGAGGUGCGAAAGCGUGGGGAGCAAACAGGAUUAGAACCCGCGUAGUC